RNAcentral lists this ribosomal RNA (254 nucleotides) under uncultured bacterium. Its description in RNAcentral is "partial 16S ribosomal RNA". It matches the Rfam family "Bacterial small subunit ribosomal RNA", at positions 524 to 776 of the family's 1533-position model. The record is from RNAcentral.
UACGGGGGGAGCAAGCGUUGUCCGGAUUUACUGGGCGUAAAGGGCGCGUAGGCGGCGCGGUAAGUCACUUGUGAAAUCUCUGAGCUUAACUCAGAACGGCCAAGUGAUACUGCAGUGCUAGAGUGCAGAAAGGGCAAUCGGAAUUCUUGGUGUAGCGGUGAAAUGCGUAGAUAUCAAGAGGAACACCUGAGGCGAAGGCGGGUUGCUAGGCUGACACUGACGCUGAGUGCGCGAAAGCCAGGGGAGCAAACGGG